RNAcentral lists this long non-coding RNA (416 nucleotides) under Cricetulus griseus (Chinese hamster). Its description in RNAcentral is "lncRNA (ENSCGRG00015038517.1)". The record is from RNAcentral. Lineage: Eukaryota; Metazoa; Chordata; Mammalia; Rodentia; Cricetidae.
GCUGAAAACAUGCGAAGGAACAUAUCACAGGGCUUCCUGUCCAUGGAGUUUGGUGGUUCCUGUCUGUCUGUCUGUCUGUCUGUCUGUCUGUCUGUCUGUCUGUCUGUCUGUGUCUCUGUGUUUCUCUCUGUCUCAGUAUCUCUUUCUCCUUUUCCCUAAUUGGUCCCACAAGAGCUCUGCAAGAGAUUCACUCCAUGUGUGUGCGAAUGAAGAUCAAGAAGAGAGUAAAACAUUCCUUUGCUCUAGUGGGCACCUCACAUUGGAGUUUCUUGUUGAGGUCUAUAAGACCCUUCCAGUAGUACCAAACACAAUGGAGACCUUCCAGAAGUACCAAACCCAACAGAGACCUCCUAGGAGUACCAAACCCAAUGAAGACCAGCUCUCAAUGCUCUCUACACCUAGGAGUUAUCCCGGCC